UACGGAGGAUCCAAGCGUUAUCCGGAAUCAUUGGGUUAAAGGGUCCGUAGGCGGUUUGGUAAGUCAGUGGUGAAAGCCCAUCGCUCAACGGUGGAACGCCAUUGAUACUGCCAGACUUGAAUUAUUAGGAAGUAACUAGAAUAUGUAGUGUAGCGGUGAAAUGCUUAGAGAUUACAUGGAAUACCAAUUGCGAAGGCAGGUUACUACUAAUGGAUUGACGCUGAUGGACGAAGCGUGGUAGCGAACAGG
RNAcentral lists this ribosomal RNA (249 nucleotides) under uncultured bacterium. RNAcentral's name for it is "partial 16S ribosomal RNA". It matches the Rfam family "Bacterial small subunit ribosomal RNA", at positions 524 to 776 of the family's 1533-position model. The record is from RNAcentral.